UUUUUAAUUAAUAAUAUAUAUAUAUAUUAUUUGUAUUUUAUUUAUUUAUAAAAGUAUUUUAUAUAUUUUUUGUUUUAGUAUUAAGUAAAAAUAAAUUUUUAGAUUUAUAGUUGAUUAGUAUUGUAAAAGAAAUUUAAUAAAUUUAAAAAAGAUUUAUUUAGUACCUUUUGUAUCAGGGUUAAUUAAAAUUAUUAAUUUUUUAUUAAUUAAAAAAUAAUUUUAGUUUUUAAAUUUAAUUUCGUUGUAAUAUAUUUAGUUAUUUAAGAUUUAAAUUAAAUUUAUAAUUUUAAUAGUUAUAUUUAUUUAUUUUAUAAUUUAUAUUUUAAAUUUAAAUUAUUUUAGGGAUAAGCUUAAAAUUUAUAUAUAAUAAUUUUAAAAGAGUUAAUAUUUUAUAGAAAUAAAAAUUUUUAUUUAAGUUUGUAAAAAUUUAUUAUUAAUUUAAAUUUAAUUUAUUAUAUUUUAUUUAUUUUUUAUAUUAAAUUUUAUAAUAUAAUAUUUUUAUUAUAGUAAUAAUGAUUAAAUUAGUAUAAUUAAUAUUUAUUAAUUAUGAAUUCGGCAAAAUUUAUUUUCAUCUGUUUAACAAAAACAUUGUAUUAAUUUUUAUUUAAUAUAGAAUCUGCUCAAUGAAAAUUUUUAAAUAGCUGCAGUAUUUUGACUGUGCAAAGGUAGCAUAAUAAUUAGUCUUUUAAUUGAGGACUUGAAUGAAAGAUUUGAUGAAAAAUAGACUUUAUUAUUAAUAUAUUUAAAAUUUUAUUUUUAAGUAAAAAAGCUUAAAUUAUUUAAAGGGACGAUAAGACCCUAUAAAACUUUAUAAUUAUUAAUAUUUAUAUUUAUUUGUUUAAUUAUUAUUUAAAUUUUAAUAAUUAUUUUAUUGGGGUGAUAAAAAAAUUUAAUUAACUUUUUUUAAAAUUUUACAUUAUUUAAUGAAUAUUUGAAUUAAAAUUUUUAAUUAUAAGAAAAAGUUACUUUAGGGAUAACAGCGUAAUUAAUUUUUUAAGUUCAAAUUUUAAAAUUAGU
This 1017-nucleotide ribosomal RNA is filed under the name Tuberaphis sumatrana. RNAcentral's name for it is "partial large subunit rRNA". The record is from RNAcentral. Lineage: Eukaryota; Metazoa; Arthropoda; Insecta; Hemiptera; Hormaphididae.